This is an RNA transcript of Jaculus jaculus (lesser Egyptian jerboa), 2232 nucleotides long. It is a transcript of the gene named tumor protein p53, with no coding region annotated. The transcript is spliced from 11 exons. The record is from RefSeq and is a predicted model, not a curated record. Lineage: Eukaryota; Metazoa; Chordata; Mammalia; Rodentia; Dipodidae.
GGCUGCUGGGAUUGGGACUUUCCCCUCCCAUGUGCUCAUACUGGCGCUAAAAGUUUUGAGCUCCUCAAAAGUCCAGAGCCACCAUCCUGGGUGCAGGUAUCCUCUGGGCUCGGUGGGCAUCUGUCCUGUGGCCCCGGGAAGCACUUCCUCGGACGGUGACACACUCCCUCGAAGAUCGGGAUCUCAGGCAUGGCCCUUUCUCCUCACAGUGGCCACACUGACUUCCUGGGUGCUGCCAUGGAGGAACCACAGUCAGAUCUCGGCAUCGAGCCCCCUCUGAGUCAGGAGACAUUUUCGGACUUGUGGAAACUACUUCCUGCAAAAAAUGUGCUGUCCACCUCGCUGUCCCCCACUUCCAUGGAGGACCUGCUGCUGCCCCCAGAAUACGAUGAGAACUGGCUGGUAGAAGGCCGGGACGACGUCCCCCAAGUGUCAACGGCCCCCGCGCCAGUGGCCCCCGCGCCAGCCACGCCCUGGCCCCUGUCAUCCUCUGUCCCUUCCCAGAAGACCUACCAGGGCAACUAUGGUUUCCGUCUGGGCUUCCUGCACUCCGGGACAGCCAAGUCUGUCACAUGCACGUACUCCCCUGCCCUCAACAAGCUGUUCUGCCAGCUGGCCAAGACAUGCCCUGUGCAGCUGUGGGUAGACUCCACACCCCCGCCUGGCACCCGAGUCCGUGCCAUGGCCAUCUACAAGAAGUCACAGCACAUGACAGAAGUUGUGAGGCGGUGCCCCCACCACGAGCGCUGCUCUGAUAGUGACGGUCUGGCUCCGCCUCAGCACCUUAUCCGGGUGGAAGGAAAUCUGCGGGCAGAGUACCUGGACGACAGACAGACUUUUCGACACAGUGUGGUAGUGCCAUAUGAGCCCCCUGAGGUUGGCUCUGACUGUACCACCAUCCACUACAACUACAUGUGUAACAGCUCCUGCAUGGGAGGCAUGAACCGGCGGCCCAUCCUCACCAUCAUCACACUGGAAGACCCCAGUGGGAACCUGCUGGGACGGAACAGCUUUGAAGUGCGUGUUUGUGCCUGUCCCGGGAGAGACCGCCGCACAGAGGAAGAAAAUUUCCGCAAGAAGGAGGCACCUUGCCUUGAAUUGUCCCCUGGGAGCACUAAGCGAGCACUGCCCCCCAGCACCAGUUCCUCUCCCCAGCCAAAGAAGAAACCACUGGAUGGAGACUAUUUUACCCUUAAGAUCCGUGGCCGUGACCGCUAUGAGAUGUUCCGAGUGCUGAAUGAAGCCUUGGAAUUCAAGGAUGCCCAGGCUGAAAAGGAGCCAGGGGAGACUAAGGCUCAGUCCAGGUGAGGGGCCUGGGCCAGCUCCCAGCCAUGGUGCCCCCCACCCCCACCUUCCUGAGCUACCUGAAGUCCAAGAAGGGCCAGUCUACCUCCCGUCAUAAAAAACUAAUGCUCAAGAGAGAGAGCCCUGACUCAGACUGACCCUGUUUGCCUCCUGUCCACCAGCAGACUACCCCCCUCUCCUCCUUCCCUGGCAUCUUGUGACUCGGCUGCUUGAACUCCUGAUUGGUGUAACUCGGAAAUACCUGAGAACCCUGCCCUUUGCCUUGACCUGAAUUUGGGAAGGGUGGUGGGAGCUAGAAUGCACAAGCUUGGCUUUUUAAGGUUUUUUUCUUCGUAGAGUUUGGGAGAAAGGAAAAUGUUUUUGCGUGUGAGGAUGGAGUUUACAAUUGGCCAUACUAUGUGUCAAAGCCCACGCCAAUACUAUCUCGAGUUUAGUUUCUCACAAUUGGAAUACCCACAUCUGUAAAAUGCUGGUCAUCAUGACCUACCUCACAGGGCUUGUUGUGAGGGUUAAUGAGAUAAUGUUUGUCAGGCCUUCAACCAUCUUCUGUUACCUCAUGGCUGGGACCCACGCGGGUGCUGGUUCCCUGUCCUUGCAGGUGGGGCUGGUAGUUUCCAAGGUUGGACAGCUGGUUCAGUGGAAGUAGUCAGUCAAGCCUCUUCUGGCCCAGCCAAGUCCUGUUUAGUCUCUGUUGAACCUUGGCUCCUAAAAUGAAAUUUUACCCCAUGCCACACCCUAGAAGAAUGGCUCUCACAAGGGUCCGUAUCUUCCAAGACUUGUUCCUUCUCCCCCACCCCCACCAUGUGCUUAAGGUCAGUUUUUUCCUCCACUGCAAGAUGUACCUGCAUUUGUCCCCCCAACGUUCUCCCUUUUUAUAUCCACUUUUUAUAUAUCGAUUCCUUAUUUUACAAUAAAACUUGGCUACCA